CGUGUGCGGUCCCUCCCCCUCACGUUCUCUCUUCCUCUGCUCCGCCAUGAUGAGAAGCGCCUGCUUCCCCUUCCCCUUCCGCCAUGAUUGUGUUUCCUGAGACCUCCCAGCCACGCUUCCUGUACAGCCUGCAGAACUGUGAGUCAACCAAACUUCCUUUUAAAAUAAAUUACCCAGUCUCAGUUAGGUCUUUCUAGCAGUGUGAGAACGGACACGUAGAGGGUGUGAGAGCCAGAAGACUUUAAGGAGAGGGACGAGCUGGGGCCUGGAUGCCCGGGGAGGUGGACCUGGACCAGGACAGGUGUCAGCGGGCAGAGAUGGGGCAGAGGUGCGGCUGUCUACCCGCGACCGGGGCCAUGCCCUCUCGGGCUCGGUUGAGGAGCUGCUCUUCCUCCAGAAUGCGCUCGGACGGAACGUUAGGAAGGCCCUGGUGAGUGGCCCCGACCUCCUCCCCCAGGACUGGCUUCUCCGGCCCUCUGCCCUUUCGGGCAGAACAGCUCGUGGCUCUUCCAGGACCUGGGGCUCCAUCUUGCAGAACAGCUCGUGGCUCUUCCAGGACCUGGGGCUCCAUCUUGCAGAACAGCUCGUGGCUCUUCCAGGACCUGGGGCUCCAUCUUGCUGAGGGGUGCUUUCUUGAGACUCCUUAGGGACGAUUCUGAUUUUCCCUGGAGCUGUACAAUGGCGGUUUAUCUUUCAAGGUCCCCUGGGCCUGGGCUCCGAGGCAGCCACUUUCCCUGGAGCCCGUGAAGGAGGUUUGGACGCCAGCUGGGCUGCCUGCCUGUGGCGGGGCAGGAAUGAGAGCUGGUGCGGCUGGGGCCCCUGGGUGCCUGGUCCUGCUCUCAUGACGCCCACCCCUUGAACCCUGACAUGGGCGCCCAAGGAUUCUCCCCGCAGGCUCGCAGACUCACCUGAUCACCGGGAGAUGUUUGAGAAGGAGCCUGUGUCAAAGUGUAGGCAUCAGAUGAAAAUUUACCUUCUUGUUACCUAUGUAAAUGGGCCGGGCUCCACGAAGUCCUUGGCUGAGAACGGUGCCACUGACCGACUGAGCUCCCGAUCGUUCUGAGAGAGGCUUAUGUGCACAGUGGACGUGGAAGGCUUUGAUGAUGUUGGUGAAACUCUCUCUGACGCUGUCAGAGAUGGAUUGGGGACAAUCCUGCGGGGAGGUGCUGAGGAGGGCAGCUACGACAACUGGCCCCACACCAGGAAAAGCUGGGGGCCGCUGAGCCCAGGCCACCAACGGGAGCUGUGGACCCAGCCUGACCCCUGGACCGAGGUGCUUUCAGGGCACAAGGGGGAUGCGGGAGCCUGUGGCUGCUGUUGCUUCUGCUCUCAGUUCAUAAACGCACGCUGUGCACAUCCCCUGUGCUUGGCAAGGGGCCUGGAUAGAAGGGCCAGUGAGGAGAUGCCCAUCCUCCAGGCACUGUGCCUCCUCCCAAAGGUCAGCACCCGGAGCAUCACUGUGCCCUCCCCACAAAGGUCAGCACCCCGAGCAUCACUGUGCCCUCCCCACAAAGGAAAAUCUCCAUGAUGCCAGCAGGCGUGUCCACAGAGGAAGGGGCGAAGAAAAUGUCGAAUGGACAGGCGACCUGCAUCCUGCCCAGCUCGGAAGAGGAGGACGUCCUGAGAUUUGCCACAGCCUGGAGGCGAUUGCGCUCGUGACAAAAGCCAGACACAGAAAGACAAAUACCACGUUCUAAUUUGUGCAUGGGAGCUAAAAUAGUUGAGUUCAUAGAGGCAGAGGGUGGGGAAGGGCUGGGCAGGGGGGAACUGGGGAGAGGUUGGUCGAAUGGCACCAAGGCUCACUUGGGAGGUGACAAGCUUGGGACAGCAGGGUGGCCGUGGUGAAGGAGAACGUGUUGGGUACAUGGAUUUGCUGUGACCUGACCUCAAGUGCUCUUGCCACAGAACCCAGGUGCUCCCUGCUGGAAAGCCACACGCGGCAGAGGAGAGCUGGCAGGAGGAAAAGCGGGUUCGAGUCAGCAGCCUUUGGAGACGGCAGACUGAGAGUGUCACAGAGACCAUCUCAAGUCUGCACGAAUUCCAGGCUCUUUUAUGUUAAGGGCAGGGGGACGGGGAGGGGGUUGGGAUCAAGAGGUGACAGGUGACCGCACACAUGUGGGUGCCAGCGAGGGUCCGAGGAGGCUGGCGAUGCCUUCGUCCUUGGUCAGGUCACGAGCACCUGUGAAUCCACAGCAGAACAGCUGUUCACAGCUUCCCCUUUCAUCCCGGAGUGAGUUUCAAAACCUGCAUCACGACUGCCUCUGUGUAUUUUCUCCGUCCUCUAGAAGAUCCUAGGCUCCGUGCAGGAAUGGGUGAAGGCCCCUUACACAAAAACAAAGUCAGGUCCUGAGUUCUUUUGCUGUUUCUUUGCUUUCUCCUGCAAAGUCACUCGAAAGGUGACUGGCGGAGGUGAGGCUGCGCUAAUUAGCUUGAUUGUGGUGACCCUUCCACAAAGCACGUGUAUGUCGGCAUAUUCACUGGGUCAUGCACCUCGAAUACAUAUUUUUACUUGUCAAAUACAUGAUAAUAAAGG
This 2533-nucleotide long non-coding RNA is filed under the name Homo sapiens (human). RNAcentral describes it as "non-protein coding lnc-BRD1-23:3". Lineage: Eukaryota; Metazoa; Chordata; Mammalia; Primates; Hominidae. The record is from RNAcentral.